This 1546-nucleotide unclassified non-coding RNA is filed under the name Hevea brasiliensis (rubber tree). Lineage: Eukaryota; Viridiplantae; Streptophyta; Magnoliopsida; Malpighiales; Euphorbiaceae. The record is from RNAcentral.
GUUGAAUUUCGAGAUGAUCGAUCUUGGAUUCUAUUGAUGUCAUUAAUUAUGAUGAAGAAGUACGUAAUAUGAUCAAAUCAGCAAAACAGAACACAGAAUAUAGAAACACACAUGUUUUUUCUUUUUUUUGCAUCACUAGUUAACGAUAUGAAGUUAUGUCUUGUAUCAAAGUAGCCCAUCCAUUGUAAGAUGAUCCUCCUCCUUCAAUAGCUUCUCUUGCCAUUUCUUUGUACUCUUUUGCUCUGCUUCUGAAUCCCUCUGUUUCUUCACUCGCCAUUACUCUCUUUAUCGCCUUUGCUAUUGCUUCUCUUUUCACUCCUUCACUAGCUGUUCUCUUCCAUUGCUUAGAACCAACACCAGCUCCACUUCUCAUUACCUCAGUCACCAACUUCUCAUUGAAAAACUGUUCCGCAAAUACUGGCCAUGUCACCAUUGGUACCCCUGCUGAUAUUCCUUCCAGCGUCGAAUUCCAUCCACAAUGAGUAACAAAAGCUCCAAUAGCUUCGUGAUCAAGAAUCAGCACUUGGGGUGCCCAUCCUCUUAUGAUUAAACCUUUUUCUUUUGUUCUUUCCUCGAAUCCUUCUGGGAGCCAAUCUUCAUUCCCUGUUCUGAUAACCCAAAUGAAAUCUUGUCCAGAGGCUUCUAGCCCCAUAGCAAGUUCUUGCAUCUGUGCUGUAGUGAAAUCUGCUGUACUUCCAAAACAAACAUAAACAAUGGAACUUGAUUUCUUCGAAUCAAGCCAUUUCAAGCACGCGUGUUCAUCGAUAGAUGAUUUCCUCCCUCUUUCCGCUUUAUCUUCAAUAUCCCUAUUGCACAGCGAAAGCGGACCAAUAGCCCAAUUUUUUCUACCUACAACCUUAGUGUAAUGUUCAACAUAAUCUGAUUCAAGCUCAUAAAAGCUAUUGAAUAUAACUCCAUAGCUCUUCGCAUCCGAUUCCCUCACAGCUUUAAUCAUGGGAGCCAUACCCGUCUCUUCAUCCGAUUGCUCAAACGGAGACAACUGUGUUCUAGUUAGCCUAAUUUCAUGUGGCAAAUCCGGUACAACAAAAGUUUCAGUAUCCGAUGACACAUUCUUGAAAGGCUUAUUACGCCUGAUGCUAUCGCCAACACAAAGCGCAAAGUAACUAGUUCCAUGGAAUACAAUUCUUGGUAUGCUAAAUUUGGCUGCACUAUCAGUAGUCCAUGGAAGGAACAUAUCAGAAACAAGACAAUCAGGGCGACAUUCUCCAAUAAGCUCCUCAAAUUCAUCUUUCAUCAUAGCCGCAGCUUUUAAGAAGUUUGGGAGUUUGUCAUCAGAAGGUACAAGAUCAAGACGCUCACAAUCUUCAGGCAAAUCAUUCUCCUUAGCUGGGAAUUUUAGUAAACGAAUAUCAAUUUCAAUACCUAAAUGCUUGUUUCUCUCAAUAGCUUUAGAGAAAACAGAUUCAUUGAGAGGUGUUGUGAUUAUAGUGGCUUUAACACCACGACAAGCGACAAGCUUCGCCAUGUCAAGUGUAGGUAUCAUAUGACCUUGAGCCAUCAUGGGAAAGAAGAAAAAAUGUAGCUG